This 553-nucleotide ribosomal RNA is filed under the name fungal sp. ATS4. RNAcentral's name for it is "eukaryotic LSU rRNA". The stretch from base 179 to 332 matches the Rfam family "5.8S ribosomal RNA". The record is from RNAcentral. Lineage: Eukaryota; Fungi.
CGGACCGUGACGCGCCCAGGCGCACCCAGAAACCCUUUGUGAACUUAUACCUUACUGUUGCCUCGGCGCAUGCCGGCCCCCCUGGGGGCCCCUCCUUCUGGAGGAGCAGGCACGCCGGCGGCCAACCUAACUCUUGUUUUUACACUGAAACUCUGAGUACAAAACAUAAAUGAAUCAAAACUUUCAACAACGGAUCUCUUGGUUCUGGCAUCGAUGAAGAACGCAGCGAAAUGCGAUAAGUAAUGUGAAUUGCAGAAUUCAGUGAAUCAUCGAAUCUUUGAACGCACAUUGCGCCCUCUGGUAUUCCGGAGGGCAUGCCUGUUCGAGCGUCAUUUCAACCCUCAAGCCUGGCUUGGUGAUGGGGCACUGCCUGUAAAAGGGCAGGCCCUGAAAUUCAGUGGCGAGCUCGCCAGGACCCCGAGCGCAGUAGUUAAACCCUCGCUUUGGAAGGCCCUGGCGGUGCCCUGCCGUUAAACCCCCAACUUUUGAAAAUUUGACCUCGGAUCAGGUAGGAAUACCCGCUGAACUUAAGCAUAUCAAUAAGGCGGAGGAA